Molecule: ribosomal RNA, 254 nt
Filed under: uncultured bacterium
Lineage: Bacteria
Description: partial 16S ribosomal RNA
Rfam family: Bacterial small subunit ribosomal RNA
Source: RNAcentral
UACGUAGGGUGCAAGCGUUAUCCGGAAUUAUUGGGCGUAAAGAGCUCGUAGGCGGUUUGUCGCGUCUGCUGUGAAAACUGGAGGCUCAACCUCCAGCCUGCAGUGGGUACGGGCAGACUAGAGUGCGGUAGGGGGAGAUUGGAAUUCCUGGUGUAGCGGUGGAAUGCGCAGAUAUCAGGAGGAACACCGGUGGCGAAGGCGGGUCUCUGGGCAGUAACUGACGCUGAGGAGCGAAAGCGUGGGGAGCGAACAGG